This 265-nucleotide long non-coding RNA is filed under the name Homo sapiens (human). RNAcentral describes it as "non-protein coding LINC00454:7". Lineage: Eukaryota; Metazoa; Chordata; Mammalia; Primates; Hominidae. The record is from RNAcentral.
CGCUGAGGGACGUUGGGGGUGCUGAGGGGACGCCCGCAGGGGCCGCUGAGGGACGUGGGAGUGUUGAGACACAGACACAGGAAGCAUCAACUCUGAGGCUUUGGCCAGGAUGUGAGCCCGACUUUCGCAGCCCCAACUGGCAGGCUGACCUCAUGUGAACUCCCUGGCGAUGGCAUCCUGGAGACACCCACAUGGCUGAGCUGGCACCAUAGGGUGAGGGCACCAGGGCCAUGGGGACCGUGGUUGCUUGCCUCAGACAUGGCCA